AUCCAGCUGACGAGUCUUAAAUAGAACGAAACGCACGUCUUAGAU
This 45-nucleotide non-coding RNA is filed under the name Schistosoma margrebowiei. The record is from RNAcentral. Lineage: Eukaryota; Metazoa; Platyhelminthes; Trematoda; Strigeidida; Schistosomatidae.